AUUUAAAUAGCUUAUUUUGAGAGCAUAAUAUUGAAGAUAUUAAGGUAACAUUAAAUGUUUUUAAGUA
Molecule: transfer RNA, 67 nt
Filed under: Provespa barthelemyi
Lineage: Eukaryota; Metazoa; Arthropoda; Insecta; Hymenoptera; Vespidae
Description: tRNA-Phe
Source: RNAcentral